GACGAACGCUGGCGGCGUGCUUAACACAUGCAAGUCGAACGGAAAGGCCCUGCUUUUGUGGGGUGCUCGAGUGGCGAACGGGUGAGUAACACGUGAGUAACCUGCCCUUGACUUUGGGAUAACUUCAGGAAACUGGGGCUAAUACCGGAUAUGAGCUCCUGCUGCAUGGUGUGGGUUGGAAAGUUUCGGCGGUUGGGUAUGGACUCGCGGCUUAUCAGCUUGUUGGUGGGGUAGUGGCUUACCAAGGCUUUGACGGGUAGCCGGCCUGAGAGGGUGACCGGCCACAUUGGGACUGAGAUACGGCCCAGACUCCUACGGGAGGCAGAAGUGGGGAAUAUUGCACAAUGGGCGGAAGCCUGAUGCAGCAACGCCGCGUGCGGGAUGACGGCCUUCGGGUUGUAAACCGCUUUCGCCUGGGAAGAAGCGUGAGUGACGGUAAUGGGUAAAGAAGCACCGGCUAACUACGUG
Molecule: ribosomal RNA, 468 nt
Filed under: uncultured bacterium
Lineage: Bacteria
Description: partial 16S ribosomal RNA
Rfam family: Bacterial small subunit ribosomal RNA
Source: RNAcentral